UACGGGGGGGGCAAGCGUUGUUCGGAAUUACUGGGCGUAAAGGGCGUGUAGGCGGCCAACUAAGUCCGACGUGAAAUCCCCAGGCUUAACCUGGGAACUGCGUCGGAUACUGGAUGGCUUGAAUCCGGGAGAGGGAUGCAGAAUUCCAGGUGUAGCGGUGAAAUGCGUAGAUAUCUGGUGGAAUACCGGUGGCGAAGGCGGCAUCCUGGACCGGCAUUGACGCUGAAGCGCGAAAGCUAGGGGAGCAAACGGG
RNAcentral lists this ribosomal RNA (253 nucleotides) under uncultured bacterium. RNAcentral's name for it is "partial 16S ribosomal RNA". It matches the Rfam family "Bacterial small subunit ribosomal RNA", at positions 524 to 776 of the family's 1533-position model. The record is from RNAcentral.